AGUCUGGCCUGCCCAAUGAUUUUUGAAUGGCCGCAGUAUUUUGACUGUGCAAAGGUAGCAUAAUCAUUAGUUUUUUAAUUGAAAGCUGGAAUGAAAGGUUUGAUGAGAAAAUAACUGUCUCUAUAUAAAUGUUUUAGAAUUUCAAUUUUAAGUGAAAAAGCUUAAAUUUUUUAUAAAGACGAGAAGACCCUAUAGAGUUUGAUAUUUAACUUAAUUUGAUGAUUUUUGAAUUUAUUUCUUUAUUUUUAUUUAAAUAUUUCAUUGGGGCGAUGGAAAAAUUAGUUAAACUUUUUUUUGUUUGGAACAUUGAUUUAUGAAUAUUUGAUCCUUAUUUUUGGAUUAUAAGACUAAAUUACCUUAGGGAUAACAGCGUAAUUUUUUUUGGAGAGUUCUUAUCGAUAAAAGAGUUUGCGACCUCGAUGUUGGAUUAAAAUUAAAUUUUGGUGAAGAAGCUAAAAUUUUAGGUCUGUUCGACCUUUGAAAUUUU
This 487-nucleotide ribosomal RNA is filed under the name Pimelia granulithorax. Its description in RNAcentral is "partial large subunit ribosomal RNA". It matches the Rfam family "Bacterial large subunit ribosomal RNA", at positions 1851 to 2597 of the family's 2925-position model. Lineage: Eukaryota; Metazoa; Arthropoda; Insecta; Coleoptera; Tenebrionidae. The record is from RNAcentral.